RNAcentral lists this ribosomal RNA (857 nucleotides) under uncultured bacterium. RNAcentral describes it as "bacterial SSU rRNA". It matches the Rfam family "Bacterial small subunit ribosomal RNA", at positions 1 to 848 of the family's 1533-position model. The record is from RNAcentral.
CGCCCUUAGAGUUUGAUCCUGGCUCAGGAUGAACGCUAGCUACAGGCUUGACACAUGCAAGUCGAGGGGAAACGACAUCGAAAGCUUGCUUUUGAUGGGCGUCGACCGGCGCACGGGUGAGUAACGCGUAUCCAACCUGCCCACCACUUGGGGAUAACCUUGCGAAAGUAAGACUAAUACCCAAUGAUAUCUCUAGAAGACAUCUGAAAGAGAUUAAAGAUUUAUCGGUGAUGGAUGGGGAUGCGUCUGAUUAGCUUGUUGGCGGGGUAACGGCCCACCAAGGCAACGAUCAGUAGGGGUUCUGAGAGGAAGGUCCCCCACAUUGGAACUGAGACACGGUCCAAACUCCUACGGGAGGCAGCAGUGAGGAAUAUUGGUCAAUGGGCGAGAGCCUGAACCAGCCAAGUAGCGUGCAGGAUGACGGCCCUAUGGGUUGUAAACUGCUUUUAUAAGGGAAUAAAGUGAGUCUCGUGAGACUUUUUGCAUGUACCUUAUGAAUAAGGACCGGCUAAUUCCGUGCCAGCAGCCGCGGUAAUACGGAAGGUCCGGGCGUUAUCCGGAUUUAUUGGGUUUAAAGGGAGCGUAGGCCGGAGAUUAAGCGUGUUGUGAAAUGUAGACGCUCAACGUCUGCACUGCAGCGCGAACUGGUUUCCUUGAGUACGCACAAAGUGGGCGGAAUUCGUGGUGUAGCGGUGAAAUGCUUAGAUAUCACGAAGAACUCCGAUUGCGAAGGCAGCUCACUGGAGCGCAACUGACGCUGAAGCUCGAAAGUGCGGGUAUCGAACAGGAUUAGAUACCCUGGUAGUCCGCACGGUAAACGAUGGAUGCCCGCUGUUGGUCUGAAUAGGUCAGCGGCC